AAACCACCAGAAGCUUGACAAGAGGCAUGGAGCAGAGGCUUCCUCACAGCCGUCAGAAGGAACCAACCCGCCAACCCCUUGAUCUCAGAUUUCUGGCCUCCAGAACCACGAGUCAGCAGAUUUCCAUGGCUUGAGCCGCCCGGUUUGUAGUACUUCAUUAUGGCAGCUCCAGCAAACAAAUACAGAUUUAUGACCUCGUCUACCUGACGAGGAUGCCUGGCCCAAGCUGGCAUACUAAGAGUUUUCCUGGAACUUGGGAAUGGGGACAAAGAGGGACUAAGCCAGCAAGACCGAAAAGCGUGGCAGUCCCAGGACAGCCAUGAAAACCAUAUGUGAAUUAAUGAGUGAGCAGAUUGGAGCAGCAAAUAAUUAUUGGCGCUUCCUUCAUGCAAAGCAUUGUUUUGGACCCUAAGGACGUCAUGUACAAAAUGCACUUAAAUCCUUGCCCUCCUGGAGCUGAUGAUAAAGAAGAUGGACAAGUAAAACAUAUGGGAUGUGAAAUGGUGAUAAGAGUGAUGGAGAAAAUAAAACAGGAGAGGAGGUUGGAAUUGCCAGGCUUCACAUUCAGCUUCUGUUUCCUGAGUGCCUCCACUAUCAAGCCAUUGGGCCAGGCAUCCAGAAGCCCUAAGGCAGACCUCAUCAUCCCUGUUCUACAGGAAAGGAAAACCAAGACUUGGCUACUACAGUAUACAAAGGGUGUGAAAAAGUCCUCCUAGAACCCUUACCCUGCUUCCAGGAGGAGCUGGACAGUCCUUUCCGAGUCCAGGCAGAAAGGAGUCUCCUCUUUUUCCAUUCUCUUUGUUACUUUAUAUGCCUGUGCAGGCUUGGUUGAGGAAGAAGGGGGGCCAGAAGGAAGUCUGGCCAGAUGGCAGGGUAAUAAAUGACUCUGAUUUAAUAAUUUGUUGCUCUCCUCUUAAUUAAAAGGCUUUUCCCUAAAUGAUUUGCUGAUCACACAAACAGCACACACUAGUUGGGCGAGGACUGGGGGCCCAGGGAAAUCUAGACUGAGAGGAGAAGGCAUUGAAAUAAAGAGGUGGCAGAUGGCAGAAGAAGCCCACCCUCCAUGUGCCAGGGUGGGCCCAGCUUCAGGAGCUCCCUCCUCCUCAGGUCUGAAACAA
Long non-coding RNA from Gorilla gorilla gorilla (western lowland gorilla), 1118 nucleotides. RefSeq lists it as uncharacterized. The record is from RefSeq and is a predicted model, not a curated record. The transcript has 3 exons. Lineage: Eukaryota; Metazoa; Chordata; Mammalia; Primates; Hominidae.